Molecule: ribosomal RNA, 433 nt
Filed under: uncultured bacterium
Lineage: Bacteria
Description: partial 16S ribosomal RNA
Rfam family: Bacterial small subunit ribosomal RNA
Source: RNAcentral
AACGAACGCUGGCGGCAUGCCUAACGCAUGCAAGUCGAACGAGACCUUCGGGUCUAGUGGCGCACGGGUGCGUAACGCGUGGGAACCUGCCCUUAGGUUCGGAAUAACUCCCCGAAAGGGGUGCUAAUACCGGAUAAUGUCUUCGGACCAAAGAUUUAUCGCCUUUGGAUGGGCCCGCGUUGGAUUAGCUAGUUGGUAGGGUAAAAGCCUACCAAGGCGACGAUCCAUAGCUGGUCUGAGAGGAUGAUCAGCCACACUGGGACUGAGACACGGCCCAGACUCCUACGGGAGGCAGCAGUGGGGAAUAUUGGACAAUGGGCGAAAGCCUGAUCCAGCAAUGCCGCGUGAGUGAUGAAGGCCUUAGGGUUGUAAAGCUCUUUUAACCGGGAUGAUAAUGACAGUACCGGGAGAAUAAGCGCCGGCUAACUCCGUG